RNAcentral lists this ribosomal RNA (465 nucleotides) under uncultured bacterium. Its description in RNAcentral is "bacterial SSU rRNA". It matches the Rfam family "Bacterial small subunit ribosomal RNA", at positions 29 to 506 of the family's 1533-position model. The record is from RNAcentral.
GUGAACGCUGGCGGCGUGCCUCAGACGUGCAAGUCGAACGAUUAAAGCUCUCUUCGGAGAGUGUAUAGAGUGGCGCACGGGUGAGUAACACGUAAGUAAUCUACCCUCGAGUGGGGAAUAACAAUCGGAAACGAUUGCUAAUACCGCAUAAUGCAGCGGCACCGCAAGGUGACAGUUGUUAAAGGAGUAAUUCGCUUGAGGAGGAGCUUGCGGCAGAUUAGCUUGUUGGUAAGGUAACGGCUUACCAAGGCUACGAUCUGUAACCGGUCUUAGAGGACGGUAGGUCACACUGACACUGAAUAACGGGUCAGACUCCUACGGGAGGCAGCAGUCGGGAAUUUUGGGCAAUGGGCGAAAGCCUGACCCAGCAACGCCGCGUGAAGGAUGAAGUAUUUCGGUAUGUAAACUUCGAAAGAAUAGGAAGAAUUAAUGACGGUACUAUUUAUAAGGUCCGGCUAACUACGU